GAACGGCAGCACGGACUUCCGUCUGGUUCCGAGUGGCGAAGGGGUGAAUAAUGCAUCGGAACGUACCCAGUCGUGGGGGAUAACGUAGCGAAAGUUACGCUAAUACCGCAUACGACCUGCGGGAGAAAGCGGGGGAUCGCAAGACCUUGCGCGAUUGGAGCGGCCGAUGUCAGAUUACCCACUUUGUGGGGUAAAGGCCUACCAAGGCGA
RNAcentral lists this ribosomal RNA (210 nucleotides) under uncultured bacterium. Its description in RNAcentral is "partial 16S ribosomal RNA". It matches the Rfam family "Bacterial small subunit ribosomal RNA", at positions 64 to 276 of the family's 1533-position model. The record is from RNAcentral.